RNAcentral lists this ribosomal RNA (235 nucleotides) under uncultured bacterium. Its description in RNAcentral is "partial 16S ribosomal RNA". It matches the Rfam family "Bacterial small subunit ribosomal RNA", at positions 84 to 334 of the family's 1533-position model. The record is from RNAcentral.
CGAUGAGUACAGUGGCGACCGGGUGAGUAACACGUGACUACCUACCCUUGAGUGGGGGAUAACCUCGGGAAACCGAGGCUAAUACCGCAUAAUAUCGAGAGAUCAAAGGAGAAAUCCGCUUUUGGAGGGGGUCGCGGCUGAUUAGCUAGUUGGUGAGGUAAUGGCCCACCAAGGCGAAGAUCGGUAUCCGGCCUGAGAGGGCGCACGGACACACUGGAACUGAAACACGGUCCAG